GCAUGGAGUAAAAGUAAAAACAAAUAAUUCAUAAGAAAUCUUAAGAUGACUUGUGCUAGGUUCUGGUUGUGGUGGAAUUGGAGUGCAAUGCAUCAUUUAAAUUGUAUUAAAAAUCAAUGCAUGCAUCAUAUUUUCUACAACAAAGUAGCCUACAUCCUAGAUGUGCUGUUGGAGGCUUGUUUUUUACAGAUACAACUAAACAGACAAAUUGAAAAGUUACGUGAUUUUUCCUUUCAUACUCUUGGGGCACUGGGAUUAGAUUUACCUUCAGCAUAAAAAACAAUCAAGUACAAAGGCUGUUCGUCAUUUUCAUCUCUUCCAUCAAAAUUGGCCACACAAAUGUUUUAACCGUAUGGAUGUGACGUAUCGCAUGACAGUUCAACCACAAUCUAACCCGAGGGUAAGUCACCUUAAGAGCUCAAAGCUAAAGGGCAUACAAGCAACAACAGAGGACUUUCUUGGAGACAUACUAAUACCCAACUAAUUUAGAGAUACAAAUCUAUGUUCCACUUCCACAAGUAAAAAGAACUAGUGCAUAUAGAGAGCUUAGAAGUUGUGAUGAUUAUUAAAUCCUCUCUGGGCGACCUGCGUCAGAAUUCGAACUAUUUCCCAGAGAGAAAGUGAUUCAUAAGCUAUGAUCAUCUUGAACAGGGCCCUUCAAGUUCAGUUCCUUCUUAUUAAAUGUGAAAUGGUUCACCGAUAAAAGUUGAAAAAAGACCACGAAGCCAAACUAUCAGCGAAAGUCUUGUCAGGAAUUUGUGAAAGUGUAUUUUGAACUGUUUGAGGGGCUGACAAAGUAAGAUCCAUGCAGGAAUGGGUACUUAGAUGCUAUGGUAUGAUUACCUAUUCGGUGUCAACACUUGAAAAUGUUACUUUCCAUCGCGUAAUGAGAAUAUUGACAUGACACACACUAAUUAAACACUUUUUACUUAUAUUUAAUUUUAUCACUGAUUCACUUUCAAGAAUAGGCUUGUCUCGCCUUAUAAAACAUAAACAAAAGUGGACCGGGGGUGGUGGGGAUUGCGGUGUUGUGACUUCUUCGUUUUUACAGAUUUUGCUUGUUACCAUCAGAAAUAUCAGCGCUCUCUGCAUGAGAGUGUGCUAACUCACAUUCGGCGUUGCGCGGAGCGUGCCAUACGGGCGCUAUCAGAACUAAUGGAGGGUGUUCAGGAAUGAGCUUUUCAAUCCCCCCCCCCCCCCCCCCCCCCGGGUCAUCCUCAACUGUUGGAUGGUUAAGAAACUUGCAACUUUGAAAAAUUUUCCUAUUUUAAGAUCUUUCAUGCGGAUGAAAAUUUCAGGCGUUCCUUAGGGGCUGAAAGAUAAAAUUUAAUUGGGGUAGCCAUCGUUGGAAAGAGGGGACGAUUACGCGGUUUUGUAUAAUCCCCCGUCCCCCGUCCCACGCCCCUGAGUGAAGUAUAAAUCAUUAUCGACAAGUCCAUAGAAGAGAAGAAAAAAAUCAACUUUUCACACCAGAGGUCUCUGUCCGUCAUCAAUGCAUAUUUAUGGGCGCCAUGACGAAGUUGGGAUUCCCAAAACUUUGACCGGUCGUCAUUUUGUGAUGGCGGUAACUAGGGACUUAAAACUUUCUGUUAAAAAUGUUUGUUUUUACUAUCUCUCGCGACUAAGCCAAAAAUUGGGGUUGACUUCGCGAAAAUGAAAAUUCGGAGGCCUAAAAUUUUUUACUCCCCGAAAAAUAGUUUUGUCCUGUGAAACGUCCUGUGAAAGGUUGGCGACAAGGGGUGGAGGAGGAGACCAGAAGGUGUCAAUUGCCUGAUGAUCUCUAGGAGGAUAGGGGGCAAUGGCGUUUGGGCGUCGCAGAGCGCGGCGAAGCUGCGCUAUAGAAGCGGCUCUUUGUAUGUGUGUAAAAUAAUUUUGUACUAGACAGGAUGCCAGAAUUUCAUCUCUGUGUCAUGACCCGUUCAAAAUAUAAGGGCGAUGGGCAGAGUUUUGGCAGACCCUGUGAAUGCUUCUCUGAGUUCAUUUUGAAAAAGUAUACCACUAAAAAUAAUGCCGUCCCGAAAGUAGAGCGAUAGGAACGACGGAACUAGGCGCCGUACUGUCGAAGGAGCCAAAAUGACAAAGAAAUAGGAAUGAAAAGGAAAAGGAAGAAUAGAAAAAGGAGGAAAGAAAAAAGAGGGAGGUGGGAAAAGAGAGAGGAUAUGGAGGCCAAAUAAUUGCAUAAUUUUAAAGCCCAAUCAACAAUGUAGCAGCGUACCACUUUAGCGAGUAGUGCGGACGCAGACCUAAUUCCUUGAUGAGGAGUCACGACUAAUAAGAAACCCCUUCAUUUUGAAAAGAUACUUCCUAGCGUAUCCGCGGAGGCCGAAUAGUUGUAUCCUUUAAAUACCCAAGCUCCGCUGGAGGCAGCAAAAAUUAGUGAGUAUUCCGUUUGCUUGACAGAGAUAAUUUUUUGAUGAAGCGUGUUGACGCCUAAAAAACGCCUUCAUUGAGAAAAGAUACUUCCUAGCGUGGCCUCGGAGGUCGAAUGGUUGCAUCAUUAAAAAACCCAAUCAAUAGUGAAGCAGCUAGAAUGUUCAUACUUUUACACAGGAGCCCCCUAUUCCAAUUUUCAUCUUUUUCU
Molecule: long non-coding RNA, 2581 nt
Filed under: Bemisia tabaci
Lineage: Eukaryota; Metazoa; Arthropoda; Insecta; Hemiptera; Aleyrodidae
Description: lncRNA ENSSSA1UGG001170
Source: RNAcentral